Molecule: ribosomal RNA, 292 nt
Filed under: uncultured bacterium
Lineage: Bacteria
Description: partial 16S ribosomal RNA
Rfam family: Bacterial small subunit ribosomal RNA
Source: RNAcentral
GUGCCAGCAGCCGCGGUAAGACAGAGGAGCCAAGCGUUGUCCGGAUUGACUGGGCGUAAAGCGCACGCAGGCGGCUUGGCGCGUGGGGUGUGAAAGGUAGCGGCUUAACUGCUACACGCCAUCCCAUACGGCCGAGCUCGAGCCAUGCAGAGGUCCACGGAAUUGCCGGUGUAGUGGUGAAAUGCGUAGAGAUCGGCAGGAACACCCAGGGGGAAACCAGUGGACUGGGCAUUGGCUGACGCUCAGGUGCGAAAGCGUGGGGAGCGAACCGGAUUAGAUACCCGGGUAGUCC